AAAAACGUUAAAAAUAUCACAAGGAAAACACGCACAACCGUUGCGCAGGAGCAGCAGUGGAAAACUGACUGAUGGACACGGAAAAUCUCGGCAGGCAGAAGGAUUUAGGAGCGCUGCAGAUGACAGCAAACAAUGGACCAGGAAAAUGUUGGCCAGGAGUGGAAAAUUGACAAACAAUGGGUCAGUCAGCCAGUCGCUGAGCGGAGGGUGAAGUCGCCAACCAGACCGAGGGAAGAAGAAGAAGCAGCGACGGCCACGGCGGCAUCAAUUUAAUUUAAAUAAUGUGAACUUUCAUGCCAAUGAAAAUGAUUUCAAAAGAGAAACUCAACGCAGUCCAACUCCCAAAACAAACUCGACAACUUCACUUCCGCUACAAAUGCAACAGAGGCAACAAACAACGUUCAAAACAACAACACAAACAACAUCUUGAACCACGAAAAACAACAAUGAUGACACCCACCCAACCGAGGAAAAAGGGUUAACUUUGGGCACAGGGUAAAACUAAUUGGCGGUUAGGGGUUAAGGUUAAAAAACUAUCAACUCGGAUAGAUGGCAAUUUAAGCCCCUAAGUAUAGAUUAUUAAUAUAUGUAAAUAUGUCAUAUGUAAGUUGAAAAUAGGGAUUAUAUUCUUAAUUAAAAGAAUAUUUCACUAUAUUCAAAAAUGUGUUAGGAAAACCAGGAAUCUAGCUAUAUCAUAAAUUAAAUGUUGUUCUGUAACUAUAAUAAAUCUAUAU
Molecule: non-coding RNA, 734 nt
Organism: Drosophila melanogaster (fruit fly)
Lineage: Eukaryota; Metazoa; Arthropoda; Insecta; Diptera; Drosophilidae
Source: Ensembl